AAGUCGUAACAAGGUAAGGCAAUGUUUCCCCAAGCAGUCAGUGUCGGAAAGUGUCAUUGAUUGUGCAAGGAUAGCGCUUACGAUUCCUGUAGACCGUACACUCGGGCAGGAGCUUUGCCAAAGGGUCCCCAUGCCCCCUAAUAAUCCCACAGUUUAAUGUGAAGCUCAAUGUAAUACAUUGGGUAAAAAAACCGAACAACUGUUAACAAUGGAUAUCUUGGUUCUC
RNAcentral lists this unclassified non-coding RNA (226 nucleotides) under fungal sp. RNAcentral describes it as "partial internal transcribed spacer region". Lineage: Eukaryota; Fungi. The record is from RNAcentral.